CAGCAGCCACGGUAAUACCGAGGGUGCGAGCGUUAAUCGGAUUUACUGGGCGUAAAGCGUGCGUAGGCGGCUUCUUAAGUCGGAUGUGAAAUCCCUGAGCUUAACUUAGUAAUUGCAUUCGAUACUGGGAAGCUAGAGUAUGGGAGAGGAUGGUAGAAUUCCAGGUGUAGCGGUGAAAUGCGUAGAGAUCUGGAGGAAUACCGAUGGCGAAGGCAGCCAUCUGGCCUAAUACUGACGCUGAGGUACGAAAGCAUGGGGAGCAAACAGGAUUAGAUACCCGCGUAGUCCCUGUCUCUUAUAC
RNAcentral lists this ribosomal RNA (301 nucleotides) under uncultured bacterium. RNAcentral describes it as "partial 16S ribosomal RNA". It matches the Rfam family "Bacterial small subunit ribosomal RNA", at positions 509 to 807 of the family's 1533-position model. The record is from RNAcentral.